Molecule: ribosomal RNA, 325 nt
Filed under: uncultured Pseudomonadota bacterium
Lineage: Bacteria; Pseudomonadati; Pseudomonadota
Description: bacterial SSU rRNA
Rfam family: Bacterial small subunit ribosomal RNA
Source: RNAcentral
GACGAACGCUGGCGGUAUGCUUUACACAUGCAAGUCGAACGGCAGCACGGGUGCUUGCACCUGGUGGCGAGUGGCGAACGGGUGAGUAAUGCGUCGGAACGUACCGAGUAAUGGGGGAUAACGCACCGAAAGGUGUGCUAAUACCGCAUACGCCCUGAGGGGGAAAGUGGGGGAUCGCAAGACCUCACGUUAUUCGAGCGGCCGACGUCUGAUUAGCUAGUUGGUGGGGUAAUGGCUCACCAAGGCGACGAUCAGUAGCGGGUCUGAGAGGAUGAUCCGGCCACACUGGGACUGAGACACGGGCCCAGACUCCUACGGGAGGCUG